AUGAGUGUCAAAGAAUUUGUUGCUUCUCCCUCAGAGGAGUUGUUAGACCACUGUACAAAAGACCAACUACUGAAAAUUGCAGAACAUUAUGAGGUAGAUGUUGGGGAUAAACGACAAAAAGAGAAAGUAAAGACCAUGUUGAAAUUGAAUUUAUUUGAUAAGAAAGUUUUAACUGAGGACCUGGCAACUGUUUCUCCUGGGGUAAUGUCUCCGAUCGUGAGAGAAACAGGUUUAACGUUUGACCAACAAAAAGAGUUGCUAAUGUUAAAAGCGGAAUUGGAGAAGGAGGUGACUGUGGAAAGGCUGCGCCAGGAGACUGAACAGCUUAAGUUGGAAAUUGAGCAGUCUAAAAUUGCGCUUAUAAGGGAAGGUAAGCUUCCAGCGGUCAGUGAAACAGGUAGGAAGUCGACCUCCAUGUCGGGUUAUGAGGAUUUUGAUGUUUUGGGUAACUUGCGCCUGUUACCAAAAUUUUCGGAGAGAGAGCCAGAGACUUUUUUCUCAUUGUUUGAACGUGUGGCUGAUGCGCGUAAUUGGUCAGACUCAGCGCGCACACUUAUGUUGCAGUGCGUAUUGACGGGUGAAGCGCAAGAGGCGUAUGCAUCAUUAAGUGAUUCUGACAGUCAAAAAUAUUAUUCCGUGAAGUCUGCUGUGUUGAGGGCUUAUGAGUUGGUUCCAGAAGCAUACAGGCAGCGGUUUAGGACAUGGAAAAAAGGUGAAAUGCAGAGUCACCUGGAGUUUGCGCGUGAAUUGACCACAUUUUUUACUCGUUGGUAUGGUGCUUCUGAUGUGGAAGACUUUGAGGGAUUGUGUGAUCUCAUUGUACUUGAGCAAUUUAAAAAUUCAGUGCCUGUGCGUGUUGCCACAUACAUCAGUGAGCAGAAAGCAAAAACUGCAGCUGAAGCAGCGGCUCUUGCUGAUGAUUUUGUGCUGACGCAUAGAGGCAGUUUUGGGGAGCCUAGACCUGGUAUUGGUCCUGUCGGUGGCAUGGAGUCGGUGGCUGGCAUGGUAAACAUUAUCAAGUGGAUGGUAGAGGUGGCAAUAUACGUGAUCCAGAAAAAGUUUGUAACUACUGUCACAAACCAGGACACUGGAAAAUUGAUUGUCAGUGGUUAA
Molecule: long non-coding RNA, 1113 nt
Filed under: Dicentrarchus labrax (European seabass)
Lineage: Eukaryota; Metazoa; Chordata; Actinopteri; Moronidae
Description: lncRNA (ENSDLAG00005032558.1)
Source: RNAcentral